Molecule: transfer RNA, 74 nt
Filed under: Lysobacter sp. Root604
Lineage: Bacteria; Pseudomonadati; Pseudomonadota; Gammaproteobacteria; Lysobacterales; Lysobacteraceae
Also listed under: 1 other name
Description: tRNA-Leu
Rfam family: tRNA
About the family: Transfer RNA (tRNA) molecules are approximately 80 nucleotides in length.
Source: RNAcentral
GCGACGUUAGCUCAGCUAGGUAGAGCAGCGGACAUAGCGUCCGCGGGUCGUCGGUUCGAAUCCGGCACGUCGCC